AUAAACGAAGGGGCUCAAAAUCAACGGCUGAAAAUAAAAAUCUUACAAAACGUGAUAAUAUGACGUUAAAAUUUUAGAUCAAAGAUAUUGAUCUUGUUUUAUAUAGUAUAAAGAAUUUUCUAUCAAAAUUUCACGUGAUUUGGAUAUUUCUACACCGUUAAACUUACAAACGACUCACGGCGACAAUUAAAAUUAUUAAUUUUGAGCCCCUUCGAUACUUCGAAUACUCUAGAUCAAGUUUAACGGAGUCGAUCGACGAUUCAAAAGUCGCAACAUCGAAAACGAGCUGGAAGCACGGAAGGCUCCGUGCUUCCGAUAGGAUAGUAGCCUUACUCUAUAUAUAUAUAGAGAGAGAGAGAGAGAGAGAGAGAGAGAGAGAGAGAGAGAGAGUCUAUAUACUAUCCUAUUAAUAAGAUUGAGAAUAUUGUCCUAUCAAGUCAUUUUGAAUAAUAAAAACUUUAAAUUAAUAAUCGGCACCGUUGAAAUUGAUCUACACAAUUAGAAAUGUUUAGAAACUAAAUUUUGUAAUAUUUAAAAAUUAUUAUUAGGUUCAUCGAAAAGUUUAAAAAAUGAAUGGUCAUAAAUGAAUAACCUUCUUAAAAUAGAGGUUAGACUUUCUCAAUACAUAAUCAGAAUUAUUAAACAUUAUCUAAAUAGUAUAAAGAAUUUUUCUAUCAAAACUUCAAGCAAUUUGGAUUGCUCUACACCGUUAAACAAGCAAACGGCUCAUAUAGACCGUCAAAAAUUGUCGAUUUCACGACACUUUGAUCACCAUGUAAAUAAUUUUUAAAAUUUAUGAAAUUUAGUUUCUAAAUAUUUCAAAUAGUCUAGAUCAACUUCAACAGCUCCGAUCAUCGAUUCGGAAUCUUUAUCAUCAAGAACAACUUGAUAGGACAAAUGCUACUAUCCUCUUAAGUAGCCCUAGCCUAUAUAUAUAUAUAUAUAUAUAUAUAUAUAUUACUUAUUCAUGAAAUAAAUAGGUACUCGUUUAAUUAUAGAUAUUUUGGAUGAUAAGAAAGUAACUGCAUAUUUUUUUUAAUGGUAACCUUAAAUACCAUUUUUGUAGUUUCGCACUUUCUUACUUUAUUAUUCUGUGGUUUAAAGGAUAUUUUUUAUUUUUAUCUUUUCAUCAGCUUUUUCUUUAAUAUUUCGUUAAAUUAUAUACAGAAAACUUUAAAUACCCCACAUAGGUUUAUUGAAUAUUCACUUUAAUACCCUGUAGUUUUAACUUUGUCACUGAUUUAACGAAAAAAAAUUAAAGAAAUCGAUAAUAAAAAGAUAAAAAUAAAAUCACAGGGCACUAAAUUGAUACACUUUAAAUCACCGAAUACUAAGGUAAGAAAGUGUGAAACCAUAAGGAUGGUAUUUGAAGUUUUUCUUUUUUCUAAUUCUUUUAAAUAUUUUUUGAGAAAGUGAAUACAC
Molecule: long non-coding RNA, 1422 nt
Filed under: Ananas comosus (pineapple)
Lineage: Eukaryota; Viridiplantae; Streptophyta; Magnoliopsida; Poales; Bromeliaceae
Description: long non-coding RNA (ACOM_LNC014565)
Source: RNAcentral